GAUGAACGCUGGCGGCGUGCCUAAUACAUGCAAGUCGAGCGAACAGACGAGGAGCUUGCUCCUCUGACGUUAGCGGCGGACGGGUGAGUAACACGUGGUUAACCUACCUAUAAGACUGGGAUAACUUCGGGAAACCGGAGCUAAUACCGGAUAAUAUAUUGAACCGCAUGGUUCAAUAGUGAAAGACGGUUUUGCUGUCACUUAUAGAUGGAUCCGCGCCGCAUUAGCUAGUUGGUAAGGUAACGGCUUACCAAGGCAACGAUGCGUAGCCGACCUGAGAGGGUGAUCGGCCACACUUGAACUGAGACACGGUCCAGACUCCUACGGGAGGCAGCAGUAGGGAAUCUUCCGCAAUGGGCGAAAGCCUGACGGAGCAACGCCGCGUGAGUGAUGAAGGUCUUCGGAUCGUAAAACUCUGUUAUUAGGGAAGAACAAAUGUGUAAGUAACUAUGCACGUCUUGACGGUACCUAAUCAGAAAGCCACGGCUAACUACGUG
This 497-nucleotide ribosomal RNA is filed under the name uncultured bacterium. RNAcentral describes it as "partial 16S ribosomal RNA". It matches the Rfam family "Bacterial small subunit ribosomal RNA", at positions 28 to 507 of the family's 1533-position model. The record is from RNAcentral.